RNAcentral lists this ribosomal RNA (253 nucleotides) under uncultured bacterium. RNAcentral describes it as "partial 16S ribosomal RNA". It matches the Rfam family "Bacterial small subunit ribosomal RNA", at positions 524 to 776 of the family's 1533-position model. The record is from RNAcentral.
GACGUAGGGCGCGAGCGUUGUCCGGAUUUAUUGGGCGUAAAGAGCUCGUAGGCGGCUUGUCGCGUCGACUGUGAAAUCCCGCGGCUCAACUGCGGGUCUGCAGUCGAUACGGGCAGGCUAGAGUUCGGUAGGGGAGACUGGAAUUCCUGGUGUAGCGGUGAAAUGCGCAGAUAUCAGGAAGAACACCGGUGGCGAAGGCGGUGGGCUGGGCCGGCACUGACGCUGAGGUGCGAAAGCGUGGGGAGCAAACAGG